CACAAGAAUACACUUUAUUUGUACAGGAGAGGCAUCUGAGGACUUCGAUAGUCCUGACUUUUUCCCGUCUGUCUUCUCCUACUCAAUCCAGCCCAACAAAGGCGAUGCAAAACAUGAGAGAUAUAAGAGAAAAAGAAGAAGGGAUGAAACCCCCCACAGAUGGCCAGACAAUGGACAUCAGUCCACAGAAGUAGUUGAUGAGUCUGCAUCAGAAUCCACACGCUUCCCUCCCCCCAAAUGAUUGCGGAAUAGAGCCUGGUGCUGGUCCUUGCACUGGUCCUGAAGGCUCUCCAUGAUGACCUCAGACAGAAGUACAGCCAACUUUCUACCGAAUGUGACAACCUGCAUGUGGACAUCAACAAACUCAAAGCCGAGAAUGAACAACUAAAAGCAACAUUCAGGAACACACAGUUUUCCUUUAGCUCUAUCAAAUGCAAUGCAGCACAGGUUCUGUUUUUCACAGGUCUGACCAGUGUCUUUUUUGAGCGGUUGCUCCAAACAGUUAAAGACAGUGUAGAGGUUGUGCGUUGCUC
Long non-coding RNA from Lampris incognitus (smalleye Pacific opah), 533 nucleotides. RefSeq lists it as uncharacterized. The record is from RefSeq and is a predicted model, not a curated record. NCBI's taxonomy places the organism in Eukaryota, Metazoa, Chordata, Actinopteri, Lampriformes, Lampridae. The transcript has 3 exons.